RNAcentral lists this long non-coding RNA (432 nucleotides) under Citrus x clementina. RNAcentral's name for it is "Citrus clementina (C. clementina) long non-coding RNA (CCLE_LNC006419)". Lineage: Eukaryota; Viridiplantae; Streptophyta; Magnoliopsida; Sapindales; Rutaceae. The record is from RNAcentral.
AUAGUGUUUAAUUGAAUUCUCGUUCAUGAUAAGAAAUGAAUUAAUUUUUCUUUUAUUAAAAAGGUAACUUCAAUUAAAAAGGGGAUUCCAUAAGAAAUUUUGAGGAUGUCGAAAUUGAGAUAUAUGCAUUCAUAUAAAUUCAAAACUUAUGCAAAUUCAGUUUUGUCCAUUAUUCCUUAGCUGUUACUAAAUAACGACAGAAAAUAAUAUGGUAUUUCCAAAAUAUAAAGGAUCAAAGUGUCGAUAUGUCAAAUUCAAGGUUAUUUUGGACUCAAUAUCAUAUUUUCGUUUGCACCGACGCAAAAUACAGAAAGCGCACAGGAAAAAUAAAAUCAAUUACGAACGUAGCAGUCCAUUAUUACUCCAUUUAUGAAAAGAACUAGGAAAUAGAACAGCACUUCGUGCGGUUUUAAAAAAAAGAAUUUAGUAUUA